GAAGGUUGUCAGGACUGAAGGAAUUGAACUGCCAGAAGGCAGCAUAGCGGAUGUUGAUUAAAGCUACAAGUACCUUGGAAUCACGCAGGCAAAUGGGAACCAAGAAGAAGCUGCAAGGAAAGCAGCCACAGCCAAAUACCUACAGAGAGUAAGGCAACUCCUAAGAAGUCAGCUAAAUGGGAAGAACAAGGUCCAAGCCAUCAACACCUACGCCCUGCUGGUCAUCAGAUACCCUGCUGGCAUAAUAAGCUGGCCAAAAGAGGAGACAGAGACCACCGAUGUCAAGACAAGGAAGCUCUUCACAAUGCAUGGAGGACUUCACCCCAAAUCCAGCAUCCUGAGACUGUACACUAAGAGGAAGGAAGGAGGCCGGGGACUGGUGAGCAUCAGAGCCACCAUCCAAGAUGAAACAGCCAAGAUCCAUGAGUACAUCAGGAAGAUGGCCCCAAGCGAUGGAAUACUUGAAUAUCUCAGGCAACAGAAGCCAGAUGCAGAGGAAGAAGAGCGAGAACCAUCAUGGCAGGACAAACCCCUGCACGGCAUGUACCACCGACAGAUACAAGAAGUGGCUGAUAUCAAAAAGUCCUACCGGUGGCUGGAAAAAGCUGGACUGAAAGACAGCACAGAGGCACUAAUCGUAGCAGCACAAGAACAGGCCCUGAGCACAAGAUCGAUAGAGGCCGGGGUCUACCACACCAGGCAGGACCCCAGGUGCAGGCUGUGCAAAGAUGCCCCUGAGACAAUCCAGCACAUAACAGCAGGUUGUAAGAUGCUAGCAGGCAGAGCGUACAUGGAACGCCAUAACCAAGUGGCCGGCAUAGUGUACAGGAACAUCUGUGCCGAGUAUGGGCUGGAGGUCCCAAGGUCAAAAUGGGACACACCUCCAAAGGUGAGGGAGAAUGACCGAGCUAAGAUCCUGUGGGACUUCCAGAUACAGACCGACAAACAGGUGAUGGCUAACCAACCGGACACAGUAGUGGUGGACAAACAGCAGAAGAAAGCCGUAGUGGUAGAUGUAGCAAUCCCAAGUGACAGCAACAUCAGAAAGAAGGAACAUGAGAAGCUGGAGAAAUACCAAGGGCUUAAAGAAAAGCUAGAAAAGAUGUGGAAGGUGAAGGCAACAGUGGUCCCCGUGGUAAUCGGCACCCUCGGGGCCGUGACCCCCAAACUGGGAGAGUGGCUCCAACAGAUCCCAGGAAC
This 1200-nucleotide long non-coding RNA is filed under the name Mastacembelus armatus (zig-zag eel). RNAcentral describes it as "lncRNA (ENSMAMG00000026161.1)". The record is from RNAcentral. Lineage: Eukaryota; Metazoa; Chordata; Actinopteri; Synbranchiformes; Mastacembelidae.